AGAGUUUGAUCAUGGCUCAGAAUGAACGUUGGCGGCGUGGAUUAGGCAUGCAAGUCGCGCGACAAGGUUCCUUCGGGGACUGGAGGAGCGGCAAACGGGGUAGUAAGGCAUCGGAACGUACCCUCUCGUCUGGGAUAGCCACGGGAAACUGUGAGUAAUACCGGAUGAUAUCGAGAGAUCAAAGGUCCGCCGCGAGGGGAGCGGCCGAUGUGAUACCAGCUAGUUGGUGAGGUAAUGGCUCACCAAGGCUUAGACGUCUAGGGGGUGUGAGAGCAUGGCCCCCACCACUGGGACUGAGAUACUGCCCAGACACCUACGGGUGGCUGCAGUCGAGAAUCUUCGGCAAUGGGCGCAAGCCUGACCGAGCAACGCCGCGUGCGGGAUGAAGGCCCUUGGGUUGUAAACCGCUGUCAGGGGGGAUGAAAGCGUAAGCUUGACAGAGCCCCAGAGGAAGCACGGGCUAAGUUCGUGCCAGCAGCCGCGGUAAUACGAACUGUGCGAACGUUACUCGGAAUCACUGGGCUUACAGGGUGCGUAGGCGGCGGUGCAAGUCAGGUGUGAAAUCCCACAGCUCAACUGUGGAACUGCGCUUGUAACUGCAUUGCUUGAGGAAUCUAGAGGUAUGCGGAACUUCCGGUGGAGCGGUGAAAUGUGUUGAUAUCGGAAGGAACACCAGAGGCGAAGGC
Molecule: ribosomal RNA, 686 nt
Filed under: uncultured bacterium
Lineage: Bacteria
Description: bacterial SSU rRNA
Rfam family: Bacterial small subunit ribosomal RNA
Source: RNAcentral